CUAUCUUUAGUAAAGAAUAAAACAUAGAGUAAUGAAAGCCAUCAUUGUUCACGUACAAGAGUGAUUUUUUACAUGGUUUUGACAGAUAUCUCCAAAAUUCAAAGAGAAAUGUUCAUACAAAUUGGAGAAAGACCGAUGCAAAACAGCUAAUUAGAUAUCAUUCUCUAAAAAUAAAAAAUAAACUAAUUAGACGUCACAAAUUUUAUAGAAAUCG
Molecule: long non-coding RNA, 214 nt
Filed under: Medicago truncatula (barrel medic)
Lineage: Eukaryota; Viridiplantae; Streptophyta; Magnoliopsida; Fabales; Fabaceae
Description: long non-coding RNA (MTRU_LNC002896)
Source: RNAcentral